This 1363-nucleotide long non-coding RNA is filed under the name Felis catus (domestic cat). Its description in RNAcentral is "lncRNA (ENSFCAG00000051821.1)". Lineage: Eukaryota; Metazoa; Chordata; Mammalia; Carnivora; Felidae. The record is from RNAcentral.
AUGAUUAGCCACUGGAUAGAAUCGUGUGUCAGGCCAACUGGGUGGCCCUUUCAGAGCCUGGUGCCUGGGAUCCAGCCCCUGCCUGCCUCCUGGAGGACUUCCUGGCCUCCAGAACCCCCCACCUCCUGUCUGCAGGCGCCUGUGGCAUUCCCAGCUGAUUUGCAGAGAGCCAAGAUGCAUCUCAUAAAUAAAGAAUGUACUGUUCUGCAGACUGGCUGCGGCAUGGCCACGCGGGGGUGGGAAAGUCUGGAACAGACAGGAGCCACAGGAGGCAGGGAGGAUCGGACAGGGGUUGCGGGUCAGGAAGGGGACGGCGAGAGCCUGGGAAGGUGUAAUGGGACCGGGGUGGGGAGGGGGCUUUAGGAUGCCGGGAUCCGGAUGUAGACUGUUGGGACUGCAUCUUGGUUCAGACGCCCUCUAGCUGUGUUUCUUUAGCCUCAGUUUCCUUGUCUGUAACCCGGCAAUGGCAUCAAUCCCUGGCUAGCUAGCAUCAGGCCAGAACCUGGAAGCCUGUGAUGCUUAGUAAGUGUUAUUAUUUGCUCCAAGCUUCCUUAGCGUCUUCCCCAAGACCUCUGUGUGGCUUCCGCUAUGGGGAGCAAGCAGAGUGGGGUGAGGACUGCAUCUGUGUCUAGGGAGAGGGCCACAGCCUACGGGAAAGGGGAGGAAACAGGUAGAGGUGCCCAAAGUGACAGGUGAAGACACAAUCACCGCUCACAAGAGGCGGACGAGACCCCAAAAGGGGACUGCGUUUCUGCGGCCAUUUCAGGGUGGGCACUUGAAAUGCUUGAUUGGCUUCUGAAAGAGAAGGUGACCUUUGGAAGGCAGAAGAAGCCGGGGGGGGGGGGGGGGGGGGGGGGGGGGGACUGCGGGGACACUGCGGUUACACCCUCAGCUUGGCCACACUGGGAACAGAGCCCCCGGGUGAGUCAUUUUCCUUGCCUGGGUGUCUAUGAAAUGAGUGGCCAGAACCACAGUGUUUUAAGCUUUAAGGUUUAGUUCCUCUUGGGACAGGCAUGCAUCGGGGGCGUCCUGUGUGUCAGACCCUAUGCCAAGCCCUGGUGACGCCAAUCUCACAGGGUGGUUGGGCAGUGUGUGUGUGUGUGUGUGUGUGUGUGUGUGUGUGUGUGUGUGUGUACAACAGACAAGCAAAUGAAGGUAUAGAAUUCCAAACUGGGGUCAGUCAGGGAGUGUGUGUAGCUAAUGGACUUGACUUUUGCCCGGAGGUCCGGGAAGGCUUCCCGUGACCGCUGAGGCUGGGCAGGGCUGGGUCGGGAGGUGGGCGGCUGGAGGAGGAGCUUGGGGAGGGCGGAAUGCGGGCAGCAGCAGGGGCCAGCCUUGCGGGUAAAGCUGGAGAUCUUGCUUC